RNAcentral lists this ribosomal RNA (682 nucleotides) under Moraxella catarrhalis. RNAcentral's name for it is "bacterial SSU rRNA". It matches the Rfam family "Bacterial small subunit ribosomal RNA", at positions 210 to 884 of the family's 1533-position model. Lineage: Bacteria; Pseudomonadati; Pseudomonadota; Gammaproteobacteria; Moraxellales; Moraxellaceae. The record is from RNAcentral.
AGCUCUCGCUAUUAGAUGAGCCUAAGUCGGAUUAGCUGGUUGGUGGGGUAAAGGCCUACCAAGGCGACGAUCUGUAGCUGGUCUGAGAGGAUGAUCAGCCACACUGGGACUGAGACACGGCCCAGACUCCUACGGGAGGCAGCAGUGGGGAAUAUUGGACAAUGGGCGAAAGCCUGAUCCAGCCAUGCCGCGUGUGUGAAGAAGGCCUUUUGGUUGUAAAGCACUUUAAGUGGGGAGGAAAAGCUUAUGGUUAAUACCCAUAAGCCCUGACGUUACCCACAGAAUAAGCACCGGCUAACUCUGUGCCAGCAGCCGCGGUAAUACAGAGGGUGCAAGCGUUAAUCGGAAUUACUGGGCGUAAAGCGCGCGUAGGCGGUUAUUUAAGUCAGAUGUGAAAGCCCCGGGCUUAACCUGGGAACUGCAUCUGAUACUGGAUAACUAGAGUAGGUGAGAGGGGAGUAGAAUUCCAGGUGUAGCGGUGAAAUGCGUAGAGAUCUGGAGGAAUACCGAUGGCGAAGGCAGCUCCCUGGCAUCAUACUGACACUGAGGUGCGAAAGCGUGGGUAGCAAACAGGAUUAGAUACCCUGGUAGUCCACGCCGUAAACGAUGUCUACCAGUCGUUGGGUCUUUUAAAGACUUAGUGACGCAGUUAACGCAAUAAGUAGACCGCCUGGGGAGUACG